AGAGCGAACGCUGGCGGCGUGCUUAACACAUGCAAGUCGAACGCGCAGCAUUCUGUAGCAAUACAGGGUGUGGGCGCGUGGCGAACGGGUGCGUAACACGUGGAUAACCUUCCUUGAGGUGGGAAUAACCCAGUGAAAAUUGGGCUAAUACCGCAUAACAUCGCGAUGGCACAUGCUGAUGCGAUCAAAGGCGCAAGUCGCCACAAGAGGGAUCCGCGGCCUAUCAGCUUGUUGGUGGGGUAACGGCCUACCAAGGCAACGACGGGUA
Molecule: ribosomal RNA, 268 nt
Filed under: uncultured bacterium
Lineage: Bacteria
Description: partial small subunit ribosomal RNA
Rfam family: Bacterial small subunit ribosomal RNA
Source: RNAcentral